AUUGAACGCUGGCGGAAUGCUUUACACAUGCAAGUCGAGCGGCAGCGCGGCCUUCGGGCUGGCGGCGAGCGGCGAACGGGUGAGUAAUGCAUCGGAACAUGCCCAGUCGUGGGGGAUAACACUUCGAAAGAAGUGCUAAUACCGCAUACGUCCUGAGGGGGAAAGCGGGGGAUCGCAAGACCUCGCGCGAUUGGAGUGGCCGAUGUCAGAUUAGCUAGUUGGUGGGGUAAAGGGCUACCAAGGCGACGAUCUGUAGCUGGUCUGAGAGGAUGAUCGGCCACACUGGGACUGAGCCACGGCCCAGACUCCUACGGGAGGCAGCAGUGGGGAAUUUUGGACAAUGGGGGCAACCCUGAUCCAGCCAUUCCGCGUGAGUGAAGAAGGCCUUCGGGUUGUAAAGCUCUUUCGGCAGGAACGAAACGGUGGGCUCUAACAUAGUCCGCUAAUGACGGUACCUGAAGAAGAAGCACCGGCUAACUACGUG
Molecule: ribosomal RNA, 484 nt
Filed under: uncultured bacterium
Lineage: Bacteria
Description: partial 16S ribosomal RNA
Rfam family: Bacterial small subunit ribosomal RNA
Source: RNAcentral